CACAUACAUAUACAUUCCCUUCUUGCCUGGGAUCCCUGAUGAUGCCAGCCACCUCACCGUUGUAUCAGGGUCUGGUGCCUCACUCUGUGAGGCAGCCAUGAGGCCAUAGCCUGUCCUAGGGUACGGCUGCCGACACACGCUAUUGGUGGACACGUCUCCGCUGGCGCUGUGCCGAAGAGGCUUGGGGUCAUGCUCACUUCUGUAGCACCGCACUAACGAUCGUGCCCGCGGCUGACCAUAUAAUUGUAUAUAUGCCAACCUGCGCAUUCAUCCAUAGAACGCGAACUCAACCCCACACGACCCCCUCCCCCCUCAGCCUGCCACUGGCCCCAUCGUGCGCUGCCAAGCAGCCCUAGAUGCGUGUUUUACAGCCAUGCGCCGACUCCGCUACUGGAGCAGGGCCUGGGCAGCACACUCUACCCACCACCCGCUCCGCAGGUCGCCCCACAGCCGCUCCCACAUCACGCCGGUCGCCACCCCUGGUGCGUCCCCCUCACGGCGGCCCAGGCUCCCCACACCAGCGGGCAGUGCGAGAGGGCCGGGUGUGAGACGUUCGCGCCACGUUGGCAUUCCGCCUAAUCUACGGCUGGUGCAGACGCGUUCACUGUCGCAGGUCGCUCUCGCGCAGCGCCAUCCACGGUCUGAUCGCCGACAUCAGCAGCGAUACAUCGCUCUGAUCGCACCCUCCGUUGUAGGCACUUGACCCUGUCACCACCACAGGUAGCUCGGCACUAGCAGGGGAUAAGAAGAGGAGGGGCUGCUCCGGCUUCUCUCCACACAGAGCGUGGCAUCACUAGACAUUGAGACACCAUGCGCUGAGGUGUCCCCACGUCGUCAGGGAAUUUGAUAAGUGCGCCAGGGAAAACGGGGAAAACAGGACAUAACGAUAGGGCGCUGGGUAUCCGAGGUUCCUGACCGGGCGUUGGCCAGCUUCCUCCCUGAGCACAUCCGGCGUGCACCCAGGCGACCCAUUACCCGCACGACAGACGUCACCACCUCGUGCAUUGGAGCAGGACACGACGCGCAUCCUGCUUGUAUGAGAGGUUGCAGUGCAGCCAGGCUCGUCUAGCGCCGAUGGCGCCGCACGUAUGUGAAGCGGGUGGUUGUGGUGAGGAAGGACAAGUAGAUCCCACUUGACGCCACUCCUGAUUCGACGGCGGACAGCUUGCCCUAGACGAGAGGGAUCUAGCCGCAGUGCAACAGAGACAGGUGAGCUGCGGUUGCCUAUGUCCGCACUUGCUGACCUGCUCAUGGUGGAAUGAUGCACUGAAGAAAAACAUCGCACUCACGUGGGGCGAAAGGCCAACAAUCGCCUGUUUCCUGGUCUCCGUAUCCCCUGCACUCCACUCACCACAUCGCGAGGCUCCCUGUCGCUCUCCUCUCGCUGACGUAGCGGAGGGAGUGCACAACCGAGCCCGUGACGACGCUUUUAUAUUGUUGUCUGUUUCACGAAAACUCUUCCACAACUUCCAAGACGCUCCUCCACAAUUUCUCAGCACCACUACCACCGCAACCUCCGCUGUUUUGUCUCUCUCCUCUCUCUGGCCCACCACCAG
Molecule: unclassified non-coding RNA, 1556 nt
Filed under: Leishmania donovani
Lineage: Eukaryota; Euglenozoa; Kinetoplastea; Trypanosomatida; Trypanosomatidae
Description: gene:unknown
Source: RNAcentral